Molecule: long non-coding RNA, 450 nt
Organism: Apis dorsata (giant honeybee)
Lineage: Eukaryota; Metazoa; Arthropoda; Insecta; Hymenoptera; Apidae
Exons: 4
Source: RefSeq, a predicted model, not a curated record
UCUUUUUAACAGAGGAAUUCCAGGUACGUUCAUACCCAUGAGCCCGGCAAAGAAAGAAGAAUAGUGGGAGACUCGACAGAAGGACUGACUCCACCCUCAAAACUCAUUAAAAGUGUCGCUUUUACCCCAAACCGUCGAACGCCUUUAUUUCAGGCGCAAGAGAGAAGAAGGUGGAGGAGAGGGGAGCGGGGGAAGGAGCUUCGGAUCUCGAGUGUGGGGCGAUUGGACGCGGGCCAGGGCGUAAGUGUACACGCGGCCGUGAUUGCGCGAGGAGAAUGUAAUUAGUGACGGGACGUUGGCGGCGAUCCCUACCCGCGGCUUGCUGGCCUGCGCGAUAUCCGGGACAAACUCGGCGGGAAUCCGUGGAGCCCGGGACUGUGUGGCUGUUUGCGGAACGUUUCCGUGCGAUUAUGCGCGCGGCUAGGCCCGCGCGAGUAAGCUGUUGAAGCG